Long non-coding RNA from Hemiscyllium ocellatum (epaulette shark), 452 nucleotides. RefSeq lists it as uncharacterized. The record is from RefSeq and is a predicted model, not a curated record. Lineage: Eukaryota; Metazoa; Chordata; Chondrichthyes; Orectolobiformes; Hemiscylliidae. The transcript has 3 exons.
CCUCCUCCCCUCUGGGUGAAGUGUACGAUCCCGCGCAAUCUCUUUGGAGCUACCAUGGACCGGGAGCUAUUGUCUGAUUCUGCGAAAGAAUAUGACAGGAUGAAAGUCAAUAUCGAAAAACUUACUGAACAAUCUACUCAGUUGGCCAUGUAUCAGAAAAAAAUGGUGGAACACAAUGCAGUACUUAAAAAUCUCAGCCACAAUUUCAAUCAGGUACAGUUGAGACUGGAACGUGUAGCAGCUGUGAAGCCUGGUAUCACAGGACUGAACCAGUAGUUUGUGGGAAAAAUAUUCCUUCAGUGCAAUGAAAACCAACAUUUCCAAUCUAUUCAAGAUUGUAUUAUUGAGAUUUUGAGUAUAGUUCUGUUUAUUUAAUGAGUGAACUUUUUUUCCCAAUUUGUGUUACUCAAUUGUGGGUUAUUUUUCUCCAUGAAAUAAAGAUGUGAAUGUGU